GCCCCGGUGGCUCAGUGGUUAGAGCGACGGCUUCGUAAGCCGUGGGUCGCGGGUUCAAAUCCCGCCCGGGGCU
This 73-nucleotide transfer RNA is filed under the name Candidatus Bathyarchaeota archaeon. RNAcentral describes it as "tRNA-Thr". It matches the Rfam family "tRNA". Rfam says of the family: Transfer RNA (tRNA) molecules are approximately 80 nucleotides in length. Their secondary structure includes four short double-helical elements and three loops (D, anti-codon, and T loops). Further hydrogen bonds mediate the characteristic L-shaped molecular structure. tRNAs have two regions of fundamental functional importance: the anti-codon, which is responsible for specific mRNA codon recognition, and the 3' end, to which the tRNAs corresponding amino acid is attached (by aminoacyl-tRNA synthetases). tRNAs cope with the degeneracy of the genetic code in two manners: having more than one tRNA (with a specific anti-codon) for a particular amino acid; and 'wobble' base-pairing, i.e. permitting non-standard base-pairing at the 3rd anti-codon position. Lineage: Archaea; Thermoproteati; Candidatus Bathyarchaeota. The record is from RNAcentral.